This is a non-coding RNA of Lupinus albus (white lupine), 991 nucleotides long. Lineage: Eukaryota; Viridiplantae; Streptophyta; Magnoliopsida; Fabales; Fabaceae. The record is from the annotation of a GenBank genome assembly.
UUUUUUCUCAUUCAAAUUCUUAAUGAUUUUAAACAUAUGUUAGCAUUUUCCGAAUAGAUAUGAUCUUAGUAGAUUAUAUAUGAUUAUUACAAGGAAUGUUAUCAUUGUAUUUAAAAAAAAAUCUGGAAUUUGAAGUACUUAAAUAUACGUACAAUUUAAAUGCACCCGAGAAGCUUUUAAUUAUAUUCAAAUAUUACCGUUAAUAAAGGUUAAAAGUUAUAGUUUAAAAUAGCCGUUGAAAAUAAUAAAACUAAACCAACACUCUCAACUAUUUCUACACUCUCUCCUCUUCUUCCAUUUCAUGCAUUGGUUUCAGAAAAAAGCUCUCACCUUUCUUUCCUUUUCUUUAAUAAUAUAAUGCUUUCUCUAUUCAACCUUUCCAAAACAAUCACUUAUUCAUUCACUUUCAUUCCAUUGUCAUAAAAUCAUUUGCAAAAUCAAUUUUUUUAUUCUCCUUCACAUUCCUCAAUACCAUUGAAUAUAGAAUUGUUAAGGAGUAACACUUACUCAAGUUUCCAAGAAUAUCCUAACCUUAGGACUAUGGUUGUCAAAAUAAACACAAGAUGUGAUGUGAGGCUCUUCUUAUUUCUAUAAUCUUAAGUAUAUAUGGUUUAUAAUGCCCUUCUUUGCUCACAGUCAUGAAAGAUUGCAUUUUUUAUAUGUGUUUGUGAAAAGUUUCAUUCUUUCCCUUUAGGAAUAUGUAAUUUCAGUUACGUAAUAAAUUACUCUUCGAUUGACAUAAUAAUUUUGCUCUAUCAUCAAUGAUAGGAAUGUUAUAUUCAAUAUAGUAAUCUAAUUUGUUACAUGAAAUCUGGUGCAUCAGUGCAGCAUCAAGAGACUCACAAAAGGUAUACUCUGUUUGAUAAUGAAUUAUAUUAAGGCAACCUAAUUUUUUUGAGCACCUUUUUCUUUUCACAACUAAUCUCUCUUAUUUUUUCUAUAUUAAGGUUCUAUAUGUAAUGUGCCCACUUGUCCAAAAUCUAUUUUUUUU